Molecule: non-coding RNA, 240 nt
Organism: Pelobates cultripes (western spadefoot toad)
Lineage: Eukaryota; Metazoa; Chordata; Amphibia; Anura; Pelobatidae
Source: the annotation of a GenBank genome assembly
CCCACGUUCGAAAUAUCCCCAGAUAGCUUGGAUCUGAGCGCUCAAUAUACCUGAACAGCACUCAGAUCCCAUACAUACAGUCAAAUCGCCAUGGAGCUGAAAGUCUGUUCAUUGUGAGUUCCACAGAAAGCAUGAGCAUUCAGCUAUCUAGGUUCAGCUCCAUUUGUGGAUUGUCAAUAUACCGAACAGCACGUCGUUCGUAUGAACCACGACGACGCGAUAGAUGGUUGGUGAUCUCAG